GACGAACGCUGGCGGCGUGCCUAAUACAUGCAAGUCGAACGAAGCUGUUUUAACUGGUGCUUGCACCGACUUAAACAACUGAGUGGCGAACGGGUGAGUAACACGUGGGUAACCUGCCCCAAAGCGGGGGAUAACAUUUGGAAACAGAUGCUAAUACCGCAUAACCACAGAAACCACAUGGUUUCUGUGUCAAAGAUGGUUUCGGCUAUCACUUUGGGAUGGACCCGCGGCGUAUUAGCUAGUUGGUAAGGUAAUGGCUUACCAAGGCAAUGAUACGUAGCCGAACCGAGAGGUUGAUCGGCCACAUUGGGACUGAGACACGGCCCAAACUCCUACGGGAGGCAGCAGUAGGGAAUCUUCCACAAUGGACGAAAGUCUGAUGGAGCAACGCCGCAUGAGUGAAGAAGGUUUUCGGAUCGUAGAACUCUGUUGUCAGAGAAGAACGUGUGCGAGAGUAACUGCUCGUGCAGUGACGGUAUCUGGCCAGAAAGCCACGGCUAACUACGUGCCAGCCGCCGCGGUAA
RNAcentral lists this ribosomal RNA (524 nucleotides) under uncultured bacterium. Its description in RNAcentral is "partial 16S ribosomal RNA". It matches the Rfam family "Bacterial small subunit ribosomal RNA", at positions 28 to 523 of the family's 1533-position model. The record is from RNAcentral.